UCAUUCAGCAAAUACAUAUGACGCAAUCACGAUGUAUCAGGUUCACUCCUACUAGAUGUACAUGAACAAGGCCUUUCCCUGAAGGAAAAGUGGAAUAGACAUGAGAUUAAGCAUGCAAAUUACAGCCUCUUCCUCAGAGAGCUGCCGAUAGCAACUAACCCUGACAAAAGUCAAUCACAAUAUCAGUUCCUUCCUCUACAGAGUGUUAAAAGUUUCUCGGCUGGGUGUGAGCCACUGCACCUGGCAGAGGUCAGAGACUCUGUGAGCAAGUGACUUCCUAAUACUUUAUAAGACUUAAGCCUAAAAUGAG
Molecule: long non-coding RNA, 310 nt
Organism: Homo sapiens (human)
Lineage: Eukaryota; Metazoa; Chordata; Mammalia; Primates; Hominidae
Source: Ensembl